Molecule: non-coding RNA, 205 nt
Organism: Pelobates cultripes (western spadefoot toad)
Lineage: Eukaryota; Metazoa; Chordata; Amphibia; Anura; Pelobatidae
Source: the annotation of a GenBank genome assembly
AUAACCCUGUAUUGCAAAAUUCUAACACCUUCAUAUGUGUUGGCAUCAAAUCUGAAUCCAUGAAUACGUGAAAGUAGAAGUAUACAGUGUAACUGAUGGGAAAGAAUAAUUAACUACCUUGGUACAGCAAUGCUAUAUCUGUCCUCAGCAUAACCAUCUUUCUAAGUCAGUGUUAAUUAGUGAUACUUCACAUUUCAAGUAGCUU